CCUACGGGGGGCAGCAGUAGGGAAUCUUCCACAAUGGGCGAAAGCCUGAUGGAGCAACGCCGCGUGUGUGAAGAAGGUCUUCGGAUCGUAAAACCCUGUUGUUAGAGAAGAAAGUGCGUGAGAGUAACUGUUCACGUGUCGACGGUAUCUAACGAGUAAGCAACGGCUAACUACGUGCCAGCAGCCGCGGUAAUACGUAGGUGGCAAGCAUUAUCCGGAUUUAUUGGGCGUAAAGGGAGCGCAGGCGGUCUUUUAAGUAUGAUGUGAAAGCCUCCGGCUUAACCGGAGUAGUGCAUUGGAAACUGGGUGACUUGAGUGCAUAAGAGGAGAGUGGAACUCCAUGUGUAGCAGUGAAAUGCGUAGAUAUAUGGAAGAACACCAGUGGCGAAGGCGGCUCUCUGGGCUGUAACUGACGCUGAGGUUCGAAAGCGUGGGUAGCAAACAGGAUUAGAUACCCGUGUAGUC
RNAcentral lists this ribosomal RNA (465 nucleotides) under uncultured bacterium. RNAcentral's name for it is "partial 16S ribosomal RNA". It matches the Rfam family "Bacterial small subunit ribosomal RNA", at positions 338 to 795 of the family's 1533-position model. The record is from RNAcentral.